CAAGAAUUGCAUGUGAAUUUGAUGAAUAUUAUAUAGAUAUAGGAGGUGAAGAAUAUCAAUGUGUGCAAUUGAAAUAUUAACAGAGAAUCAGUGGUAGCUCUAACCCAGGAAUUCUAAUGCAUUAAUUAGGCACAGUAGUUUAAGGGAAGAAAUGAGUGUGAGAGUACAUGGCUUCCAGUUCCAUUCAACUGUUUAUAUUGUGAUCUUAAGGAAAUCUCUCAUCUCCACAGAAGCUUAAAAUAUCUAUGACAUAUAGUAAUGAUUAAUUACAAGGGUGUAAAUUUACCUACAAUAGAACCUGACACAGGGAAGCCCCUUGAUGGAUCUUUAGGCUAUCAUAACUAACUUUUAAAUUAUACUUUUAAAAUAUACACAAACACAGU
RNAcentral lists this long non-coding RNA (383 nucleotides) under Bos taurus (domestic cattle). RNAcentral's name for it is "long non-coding RNA NONBTAT025108". Lineage: Eukaryota; Metazoa; Chordata; Mammalia; Artiodactyla; Bovidae. The record is from RNAcentral.